This 404-nucleotide ribosomal RNA is filed under the name bacterium. Its description in RNAcentral is "partial 16S ribosomal RNA". It matches the Rfam family "Bacterial small subunit ribosomal RNA", at positions 355 to 776 of the family's 1533-position model. The record is from RNAcentral.
UGGGGAAUCUUGCGCAAUGGGCGAAAGCCUGACGCAGCCAUGCCGCGUGAAUGAUGAAGGUCUUAGGAUUGUAAAAUUCUUUCACCGGGGACGAUAAUGACGGUACCCGGAGAAGAAGCCCCGGCUAACUUCGUGCCAGCAGCCGCGGUAAUACGAAGGGGGCUAGCGUUGCUCGGAAUUACUGGGCGUAAAGGGCGCGUAGGCGGAUCGUUAAGUCAGAGGUGAAAUCCCAGGGCUCAACCCUGGAACUGCCUUUGAUACUGGCGAUCUUGAGUAUGAGAGAGGUAGGUGGAACUCCGAGUGUAGAGGUGAAAUUCGUAGAUAUUCGGAAGAACACCAGUGGAGAAGGCGACAUACUGGCUCAUUACUGACGCUGAGGCGCGAAAGCGUGGGGAGCAAACAGG